Kogia breviceps (pygmy sperm whale) is the source of this 1454-nucleotide non-coding RNA. NCBI's taxonomy places the organism in Eukaryota, Metazoa, Chordata, Mammalia, Artiodactyla, Physeteridae. The record is from RefSeq and is a predicted model, not a curated record.
AGAGAAGCCAUUGGUAAGUCUACAGAAGGGACUGCCAUGAUCCAAUUUGUAUUUUUAAGAAGUUGCAUUAAUUGCUGUAUGGAAAAUGGACCGUCAGAGGGUAAGAAUUCAAGUUUGGGGAACAGUUGAGAGAUUUUGCAAUAGUCUGGAGGAGUGACGAUGGGGACUUGCACUAGGCUGGUAGCAGAAAAUGUGGGUGAGAAGACCACAGAGCCAGGAGAGAGCGAGGUGAAGCCAGCAGCACCUGAGUGGCCACAGGAGCAAGGAAGAGGAGGCAAGGAGGACUCCACAUUUUUGACCCGAUCAACAAGAAUAUUCAGAGUGACAUCAAGGGAAGGGGAUGGCGGGACAACUGGUACAGAAAGCAAGAAAAGAAGCCCCGGGGAGGUGGGAGUCCACGGUGAUCUGAUGCCUGAGUCCCCAGAGCCACCCUUGGCUCCCAGCUGAGAGGUACCUCCUUAUGGCGGGCACAGGAAAAAGCAGACCCCAGGAGCAGGUUAUUUUGCCAGGAGGUGCAAACCUGCUUCUCCUACUAAUUGAAAAAAAAACAAACAAAAAAAACCAAUGGAAGCAAAACCAUGCCCUCGAGCAAUGAGCUGUCUUUAUAUUCCCAUUCCUUCUUUUACGAUGAGUGCCAGCGCUGGAUCGCUUCCACCACUGCAGUGUUCCACGUGAAAGGUUUGAGAUUACCUGGAUCGACGUGAUUGAAACAGCAUAGCUGUGGCCUGGCAGAAGCAAUCAAUUCAGGCAGCUAAAUGGUGUGUAAAUGGAAAUGACCACACAACUGACUUGGCCAGGGCAAUCAAUACUGCUUAUGAAGAGAGCAAAAAAUGAGCACAUCUGCUGGGCUAUGGUCCCAUUCAAUGGCUAUAAGUAGAUACAAUUUACAAAGAAUGUGGACAGAAAACCUUGCUCCAGAGGAUCUGGAUUUCCAGAUUUAUGUGAAAUGCCCAACUGAGCACCUGGCUCAGAGAAGGUAUUUAAAUAUUACUUUUCCCCACUUUAAUCUGGUCACAGAAUGUUUCAAGUAUUUAACUGAUUAUGCAUUUUCAGUAUCAAGUACAACCACCAAAAGCAGAUAUUGUAGAUAAUUGGUAUGUACACAACUCAAAUGAUGGAAACAGGUGUAAAUGGGGCCCAAAGAGUUACCUACUGAUUUUGCACAUUUUGUGGAACAUGACCAUCAGUCAGCACAUUUUCAAAGUGAACGGUUAGAUGACUUUCAAUUCAGAGAGCUUCUUCUGUUACACUUUACUGUUCUUGAUAUUAUCCUAAGUGUUUUCUAGUAAUUAGAUGGCUAAUUAGAACAUUACUUCAGGACUAUAAUAAUUCUGAUAUUUCAUAUGUGGCAAUAAUAAAAAGGUAAGUAAUUUGUUCCAAAACACUAUGUAUGUAUGUUUGUAUGUAUGUAUGUAUCUAUCAUCUAUUUAUCUCUAUGUAUUCAUUCAUUCCUU